This 254-nucleotide ribosomal RNA is filed under the name uncultured bacterium. Its description in RNAcentral is "partial 16S ribosomal RNA". It matches the Rfam family "Bacterial small subunit ribosomal RNA", at positions 524 to 776 of the family's 1533-position model. The record is from RNAcentral.
UACGGAGGGUGCAAGCGUUUGUCCGGAAUCACUGGGCGUAAAGGGCGCGUAGGCGGCUCAUGAAGGCUGUGGUGAAAGUCCGGGGCUCAACCUCGGAUCGGCCGUGGCGACUCGUGGGCUGGAGCACUGUAGAGGCGGGUGGAAUUCCGGGUGUAGCGGUGAAAUGCGUAGAUAUCAGGAGGAACACCGGUGGCGAAGGCGGUGAGCUGGGCAGUUGCUGACACUGAGGCGCGACAGCGUGGGGAGCAAACAGG